RNAcentral lists this non-coding RNA (60 nucleotides) under unclassified sequences. RNAcentral describes it as "Xanthine-I sequence". It matches the Rfam family "Xanthine riboswitch aptamer (NMT1 RNA)". From Rfam's summary of the family: Later it was reported as a ncRNA that recognised Xanthine. The record is from Rfam by way of RNAcentral.
CCAUUGGGUAGAAGCGUUCAAUCAGCACCGUGACGGUGCAGAUGGGAAAUUGCCCAUGAU